Molecule: ribosomal RNA, 465 nt
Filed under: Shuttleworthella satelles
Lineage: Bacteria; Bacillati; Bacillota; Clostridia; Lachnospirales; Lachnospiraceae
Description: bacterial SSU rRNA
Rfam family: Bacterial small subunit ribosomal RNA
Source: RNAcentral
GAUGAACGCUGGCGGCGUGCUUAACACAUGCAAGUCAAACGAGAAAUGAUAUUACGAUCUCUUCGGAGUGACGGUUUUAUUUCGAGUGGCGGACGGGUGAGUAACGCGUGAGCAACCUGCCCUAUACCGGGGGAUACCAGUUGGAAACGACUGUUAAUACCGCAUAAGCGCACGAUAAGACAUCUUGUUGUGUGAAAAACUCCGGUGGUAUAGGAUGGGCUCGCGUAUGAUUAGCCAGUUGGCGAGGUAAAGGCCCACCAAAGCGACGAUCAUUAGCCGACCUGAGAGGGCGACCGGCCACAUUGGGACUGAGACACGGCCCAAACUCCUACGGGAGGCAGCAGUGGGGAAUAUUGCACAAUGGGCGAAAGCCUGAUGCAGCGACGCCGCGUGAGUGAGGAAGUAUUUCGGUAUGUAAAGCUCUAUCAGCAGGGAAGAAAGAAAUGACGGUACCUGAGUAAGAAG